Small nucleolar RNA from Dipodomys ordii (Ord's kangaroo rat), 92 nucleotides. Ensembl annotates it as predicted gene, 23201. The record is from Ensembl. NCBI's taxonomy places the organism in Eukaryota, Metazoa, Chordata, Mammalia, Rodentia, Heteromyidae.
GCUGGCAUGCGUGAUGACUGAACUUUUUUCCCCGACUGAUCGACCAUGUUGAUCUAAGCUCUCUUAAGCCAGUUUCUGUCUGAUAUGCCAGC